This is an unclassified non-coding RNA of Pongo abelii (Sumatran orangutan), 117 nucleotides long. It matches the Rfam family "Metazoan signal recognition particle RNA". From Rfam's summary of the family: The signal recognition particle (SRP) is a universally conserved ribonucleoprotein. It is involved in the co-translational targeting of proteins to membranes. Lineage: Eukaryota; Metazoa; Chordata; Mammalia; Primates; Hominidae. The record is from Ensembl.
ACUGGGCAUGGUGGCGCAUGCCUGUAAUCCCAGCACUUGGGGAAGCUGAGGUAGGAGAAUUGCUUGAGGCCAGGAAUUUGAGACCAGCCUGGGCAACAUAGCAAGACCCUGUCUCUU